AGACACUAAAAGUGAAGACGCUGAUUCACUAGCUAGACCACCCUCCAUUUUAGGCCAAAAACCGAAAGUCUUUCAUUUAUCUUCAAACUGGAAGAAAUCUCUCGAUAAAUACACUUCUUUCCGGCUACCUUGUGUCUGUAUGCCAGUCGGUUUGUUCUUUCUCCAAGGAUGAAGGAAAAUCGACUUCCCAGAUGGCUAGUCCGAGACCAGAAAUCAUUG
This 219-nucleotide unclassified non-coding RNA is filed under the name Hevea brasiliensis (rubber tree). Lineage: Eukaryota; Viridiplantae; Streptophyta; Magnoliopsida; Malpighiales; Euphorbiaceae. The record is from RNAcentral.